This 400-nucleotide ribosomal RNA is filed under the name phytoplankton environmental sample. Its description in RNAcentral is "partial small subunit ribosomal RNA". It matches the Rfam family "Eukaryotic small subunit ribosomal RNA", at positions 587 to 988 of the family's 1831-position model. The record is from RNAcentral.
AGCUCCAAUAGCGUAUAUUAAAGUUGUUGCAGUUAAAAAGCUCGUAGUUGGAUAUCUGGUAGGAGCGACCGUGCCGAACUUGAUUGUUCGUGUAUUGUGUUGUCUCCAACCAUCCUUGUGGAGAACUUUUCUUGCAUUAAUUUGUAAGGAUUGAGACCCGCAUCGUUUACUGUGAAGAAAUUAGAGUGUUUAAAGCAGGCAAUCGCUUGAAUACAUUAGCAUGGAAUAACAAGAUAGGACUUUGGUACUAUUUUGUUGGUUUGUAUACCAAAUUAAUGAUCAGUAGGAACAGUUUGAGGAUAUUCGUAUGAACAUGUCAGAGGUGAAAUUCUUGGAUUUUGAUCAGACGAACUACUGCGAAAGCAUUUAUCAAGGAUGUUUUCAUUAAUCAAGAACGAAA